Lagopus muta (rock ptarmigan) is the source of this 243-nucleotide long non-coding RNA. RefSeq lists it as uncharacterized. The transcript is spliced from 2 exons. The record is from RefSeq and is a predicted model, not a curated record. Lineage: Eukaryota; Metazoa; Chordata; Aves; Galliformes; Phasianidae.
CAGAGCGCCCACCUCAGCGAUUAUAUUACACCUACUGUGUGAGGCCGAAGCCCGGACAUAGAAGAAGGGUCAUAUCCUGCUGUACAAAACAAAGCGUUAAAGAUAAGAGUUUAUUGUAAGCAUCAGUCACCAACCUGAAGACAGACAACUCCAACCUCCCAUCACAGAGGAAAAACUUCUGUGGAGGACAGCUGCAGUGGGACACUCAGGGAGGCUGAGCUUUCUCCGUUCAUCUUUUUUUUU